CGGAGCCGCGGGAAUACGUAGGGUGCGAGCGUUAAUCGGAAUUACUGGGCGUAAAGCGUGCGCGGGCGGUUAUAUAAGACAGAUGUGAAAUCCCCGGGCUCAACCUGGGACCUGCAUUUGUGACUGUAUAGCUAGAGUACGGUAGAGGGGGAUGGAAUUCCGCGUGUAGCAGUGAAAUGCGUAGAUAUGCGGAGGAACACCGAUGGCGAAGGCAAUCCCCUGGACCUGUACUGACGCUCAUGCACGAAAGCGUGGGGAGCAAACAGGAUUAGAUACCCGGGUAGUCCCUGUCUCUUAUACC
Molecule: ribosomal RNA, 301 nt
Filed under: uncultured bacterium
Lineage: Bacteria
Description: partial 16S ribosomal RNA
Rfam family: Bacterial small subunit ribosomal RNA
Source: RNAcentral